GUUAAAGUCAAGAGACCAAGUUGGCAAUCUAUAUAUGAAGGAUUGUUUGAUUUCGAAGAUAUUGCUGUAUGAAUUUGAUUCAGUAUGGUUGAGCAUUAUCAUCUUGUAUGUAAAAGAAUCUCUAAUUGCUUCUGCAUACAGCAAACAGCAAGGUCUAAAACAUCAUCCUUACACUUUCUGGCAUUCACAUUUUCUCUAUGUAGCAUGUACAGGUCUGUGUAGCUGCCUAACAAAGUGUCACUCCAAACCAUCAGUCUAGCUUUUUGAAUGUUAGAGAGGAAGUACCAUGUCCUUGAUUCUGUUCAGAUCAGAAUAUGC
This 318-nucleotide long non-coding RNA is filed under the name Androctonus crassicauda. Lineage: Eukaryota; Metazoa; Arthropoda; Arachnida; Scorpiones; Buthidae. The record is from RNAcentral.